CGUGCCAAGUAUUGGGAAUGCCUGUUCCAUCUUCCCGCUUUAACUUGUACGUGCCUGGUCGGAGUUCUUCCUCCACCACAUAUGGUUCUUCCCAAUUUGCGCCUAGUUUGCCUUUAGAGCAGUCUUUUCUGCCGACACUCGCUCUUCUCCAUACUAGGCUUCCUUUUCUUAUCGCUUUACCCUUGACAUUCUUGUCGUGAUAUCUAGCGAUACUUUGUUUGUAAGCUGCAUUCUUUGCCUGUGCAUUAUCCCUAAGCUCAUCCACUAAGUCCAGAGUUAUCGCACAUGAUCUCAUGCUUUCUUCCAUGUCAUAGGUUAACACUCUGACUGUUGGA
RNAcentral lists this long non-coding RNA (335 nucleotides) under Zostera marina. RNAcentral describes it as "long non-coding RNA (ZMAR_LNC001687)". Lineage: Eukaryota; Viridiplantae; Streptophyta; Magnoliopsida; Alismatales; Zosteraceae. The record is from RNAcentral.